GUUUUUGAGUCGUACUAGGCUAGCCUGCUUUAACAUUUGAUAUUAGUUUUCUUCAUACAGAUGAUGCGAUUCCAACGAUUCCCCUUUCCGGUUAUGCAAUCAGUGAAUAAUUUUUAUUUUCUCAACUUGACGAUCUCAGUUGAACAAAAAGGCAUGAUUCACGUGAUCAAUGCAUGGUAAAGUCGCGGACUUUUGCGGUGUAAAUCGUUCAAAUUUCAACAACGGCCUCUUGAGGUGCAACAAAAAGUGUGUGACACUUAUUAAAAAUGGGUGGAUCAAAAUGAAUGAACGUUGAAAAUGCGGAAAAAAGUAAUUCGGAGCGAUUCGCAAAUUUCAUUUGGCAUUGGGGGCACUGGCAUCUGGAUAGUGUUUCUGGUAGGCUCGGGCAAUGUCUGGAUCAAGCAGAUGGACACCAUCGAGUUGAUUUCCCAGGGUAAUCCUAAAUAUCAUGUAACAAUGUCAUUUACUUGCACGUGAUAAAAUUCUCAUUUCCUUACUAG
This is a long non-coding RNA of Daphnia pulex (common water flea), 500 nucleotides long. RefSeq lists it as uncharacterized. The record is from RefSeq and is a predicted model, not a curated record. The transcript is spliced from 2 exons. NCBI's taxonomy places the organism in Eukaryota, Metazoa, Arthropoda, Branchiopoda, Diplostraca, Daphniidae.